CGGGGCCUAUACAUGCAAGUCGAACGCACAGCGAAAGGUGCUUGCACCUUUCAAGUGAGUGGCGAACGGGUGAGUAACACGUGGACAACCUGCCUCAAGGCUGGGGAUAACAUUUGGAAACAGAUGCUAAUACCGAAUAAAACUUAGUGUCGCAUGACACAAAGUUAAAAGGCGCUUCGGCGUUCACCUAGAGAAGGAUCCGCGGGGCAUUAGUUAGUUGGUGGGGUAAAGGCCUACCAAGACAAUGAUGCAUAGCCGAGUGGAGAGACUGAUCGGCCACAUUGGGACUGAGACACGGCCCAAACUCCUACGGGAGGCUGCAGUAGGGAAUCUUCCACAAUGGGCGAAAGCCUGAUGGAGCAACGCCGCGUGUGUGAUGAAGGCUUUCGGGUCGUAAAGCACUGUUGUAUGGGAAGAACAGCUAGAAUAGGAAAUGAUUUUAGUUUGACGGUACCAUACCAGAAAGGGACGGCUAAAUACGUGCCAGCAGCCGCGGUAAUACGUAUGUCCCGAGCGUUAUCCGGAUUUAUUGGGCGUAAAGCGAGCGCAGACGGUUUAUUAAGUCUGAUGUGAAAGCCCGGAGCUCAACUCCGGAAUGGCAUUGGAAACUGGUUAACUUGAGUGCAGUAGAGGUAAGUGGAACUCCAUGUGUAGCGGUGGAAUGCGUAGAUAUAUGGAAGAACACCAGUGGCGAAGGCGGCUUACUGGACUGCAACUGACGUUGAGGCUCGAAAGUGUGGGUAGCAAACAGGAUUAGAUACCCUGGUAGUCCACACCGUAAACGAUGAACACUAGGUGUUAGGAGGUUUCCGCCUCUUAGUGCCGAAGCUAACGCAUUAAGUGUUCCGCCUGGGGAGUACGACCGCAAGGUUGAAACUCAAAGGAAUUGACGGGGACCCGCACAAGCGGUGGAGCAUGUGGUUUAAUUCGAAGCAACGCGAAGAACCUUACCAGGUCUUGACAUCCUUUGAAGCUUUUAGAGAUAGAAGUGUUCUCUUCGGAGACAAAGUGACAGGUGGUGCAUGGUCGUCGUCAGCUCGUGUCGUGAGAUGUUGGGUUAAGUCCCGCAACGAGCGCAACCCUUAUUGUUAGUUGCCAGCAUUCAGAUGGGCACUCUAGCGAGACUGCCGGUGACAAACCGGAGGAAGGGCGGGGACGACGUCAGAUCAUCAUGCCCCUUAUGACCUGGGCUACACACGGGCUACAAUGGCGUAUACAACGAGUUUGCCAACCCGCGAAGGUGAGCUAAUCUCUUAAAGUACCCUCUCAGUUCCGAUUGUAGUCUGCAACUCGACUACAUGAAGUCGGAAUCGCUAGUAAUCGCGGAUCAGCACGCCGCGGUGAAUACGUUCCCGGGUCUUGUACACACCGCCCGUCACACCAUGGGAGUUUGUAAUGCCCAAAGCCGGUGGCCUAACCUUUUAGGAAGGAGCCGUCUAAGGCAGGACAGAUGACUGGGGUGAAGUUCGUAACAA
RNAcentral lists this ribosomal RNA (1475 nucleotides) under Leuconostoc mesenteroides. Its description in RNAcentral is "bacterial SSU rRNA". It matches the Rfam family "Bacterial small subunit ribosomal RNA". Lineage: Bacteria; Bacillati; Bacillota; Bacilli; Lactobacillales; Lactobacillaceae. The record is from RNAcentral.